AAAAACGGGGCCCUUCAGUCCCGUCGCGCUGCGCACGGCCCGCGGCGCUGCGCGCGCACGUAACCUCAUUGUGUUUUCUGUUCUUGCAGAGUCCACAGAGUUCGUUGUAUUGUGUGUUUUUUCUUUCCUUUUUCUUCGUUCAUCACCUUCGCAUUGACCAUGUCAGGUCAUCAGAGGCGACGCCCGCUGUUUUUCAUCAGGGAAUUGCACGCAUACGCAUCGGGAGCGAUCCCGUGAGCGUCAGCGGAUUGCGUCCGCGAUCCUAACCUCUCUCGAGGUUCGCCCGGUAUUUAUUACAUUAUCUAUUAUUAAUUAGUGCUUGUUCACUAAUACUGUGCCCAUUGUCGCACUGUUAUAUCGAAUGUCGAUUUUCAUCUGCUGGUUUCGAGUGAGUAUUUACGUCAUUUUUACUGACAACAGCUACUACUGUUUCCUGUUACCGGUAUAUAUACACAUGUAUGAUUAGUGCAGCAAGGAUUAGUGCAGCUUAUGGCGCGUAAGGUGCGCACGAGGGUCGCCAAGCGGACUUCUAGUCUCCGCGUCGUUGCUACGAGAGCGACUUCUAACCUCGCAGAACUUCGAGGGAGUCGCCACGUGGGACCUUCGCGGGAUCUUUGCGGGAUCUUCCGGUUCUACGUCUUGUGGCUGGUUGGUGCAAGCCGUAAGCGAAAUUUUUCGCUUAUGUAGUGUCGUAUCUCCCCGACAUCCAGCGAGGUGUCGGAGGAUACUCAAAGACCGGCGAGUCUUGUCCCGCAUGCAGACUUUACGACACUCUCGGACGGACCCGGCGAGGUAUCCGUACCGUUGGCUCCCCGACAUCCAGCGAGGUGUCGGAGGAUAUUGUUAGACCGGCGAGUCUUGCCCCACAUGCGGACAUUACGACGGACCCGGCGAGGUAUCCGUACAGUUGACUCUCCGAACGGAACGUAGACGAGCAGACGGUCCUUGCUGGCCGGGGCGGCGACCUAGGUAUGUCUCCUUCCCAUCUUGCUCUUUGUAACAAGAUGCACGAUGAAGGAGGACAUAACCGACUGCUCACUUCUACUGUGUUCCGCUUCUCUCUCCCUUUUUCCCUCCCUUUUCAGUGAAUGUCUCCCCGUUAGCGUUGGAGGACCUCACACUGUUACCGUCCUCGAUCCGGUGGCCAGCGCGACAAUCGGGCAUGGCGGACCUGCGGAGUUCAGGUCCAGGUCGGCUUCUCUUCAAAAGAACAGCCUCCAUCACCACUACAGCAUCGGAAUUAUCUAUCUUCUUGGAUGCUAUCGCAAUCGCGGUAUUUUCCCGUCUUCGGGAGGGAUUGAGGACUACCCUCUUCGGUGAGAGUGGCUUCUUUCAGCAGUGCAUCGCAACCAGACCGGAACAGAUCUGGUAAUUUCAUCAGCUCUAUUAUGGCGACUGCUUGGUCUAGUCAAAUGACAACCGAGGUCCAUUCUGUCCGUGUGGCUUUGAACUAUUGGGGCAAUGACCUUACGGAGCUCUCGAAGGUCGAAUCUCUGUCUCCGGAUGUCAGCAGACGGAGAAGGCACUGAUGAAGCAGACGGAUCAGCAAAAUUGAAGUAUCCGCUUGUUGACGGAAUACCUUGUUUCGUCUCUUUCAGACGACGAGGAUUGUUUCAGCUUGUCUGCCAGCCUCUACCACCGGUUCCUCCUUUUUGACAACGAUCUUGCUAUUCGUAUCGGACCGCCGCCAAGCGCGUUCAGCAGUAAAGCGAGUGACGGGCAAUCGGCUGGUCGAGCUGCAUCCGAUGUUUUUUGUCCUGACAGGCAUUCACUUUAGCUUCCUCGACUUCACGAGUGAAAUGAUCUUCAGGUGACCCCAGUGGAUCCAUUUUUCCAUCCGCAAGCGGCUAUCGCUAAUGGCUUGCAGAAACGGUUCGAGCGGCACCAUCUAUUGUGCAGUGUCUCCAAAGAUGGCGUGUAAUAUGCCUUACCUGCAGGUUCAUCAACCAUCCGUCGGGCUUGUAUCGCCCGACACGGCUCGAUUUUUCUCUCCGUGCAGUGUCCCGACGGCAGGGACAAAACAAACAGUCCCUCCGCGUAAUGUAUCCUCCAUCAAUCCUCGCCUCACCAAUCGAGAAGAAUUUUUUCGCAGUGUGCCGCACCAGGACGUCGUCUUCCUGCUCCUGAGUUCGCACCUGACGCUACACCCGGCAGAAUCAACGGGUUGUUUGAUUGUCUGCACGAAUCGAGAGCGAAAAAUAACAUUUGCUCUCAGAUACUCGGCUUACCGACUAUACGAGUUCCUUUUUCCGCAUCACCGCUGUUCCGUUCUUAUCUGUCGGAGUGGUUUCUGUCCGCGCGGAGAGCCGCUCACUGCAUUGCGGACAUGUAGCAGUUAUGAGUCUUCACUGAUGCUUAUCACAUUUAGCCUAUGAGCUAUUGCCUUUUUUGCAGAGGAAUGCAUUUCUUUUUAAAGUCACGCGAACUGAAUACAUUCCGGUCUCCAUCUUAUAUAUGGCAGAUUGACGUACUAUUGCCUCAGAAUGCUAAAUUGUACGACAGCUUUUGUGCAUCUUGAACGCAUCUCAGCUGGUAUCGUUACACUCCUCUCGUCCUCCGUUAUUAGUAACGAGCUUUAUGGUUUUGUUUCGUGGCCUGUCCCCGACACCUUCCACUUUUUCUGCGACCGUCUGCCCCAUGGUUAGGGCAUUGCGACGGCGGAAUUCUCAAUCAAUCAUAUUCUUCCACGAUUUUCGGCCUUUAGACGCCCUGGAAGAGGUCUAUCAAAGGAAGUUUUCAGCCGUCUUGGAUCUAUUCUUAUUUCUGAAUUUCUCUGUUCAUUCUGAGCUCUAACCCUCCUCUGCAUGUAGCUUGGGUUGCAGCUACGAUUCUAUCUCCCGACUUCUGGCAAUGAUACUGAAUAUCUCAUGAAGUCCCCGGUGCUCUAUCCGAGAUUUCACGCACAUGGUUGCUCAGCCGAGAGAAAGAAGUUUUUGGUUUUGGAGACUCAUUCUCAAUACUAUGGCGGGUGGGUGUCACCCCCCGGAUAUCUGAGUACAGAUUACAAACGGAUUGGCGUUUUUUCAAACAGUAUUUAGUGCGCUGCAGCUCGCUCUGGCUCCGAGGGUGCUUUGUUCUUUGAUGUACCCCUAACGGGCUGGCGAGCUCCAUAGAAGAUUUCAAGCCUGCAUUAUCACCGGAAAUAGACGGAGAUGACGCGCACAGCGCAAUAUUUACUGUUCUCGUUUUUCAUAUUGCCUUCCUCGGCAAUGUCAUUACAGAUGCCGCAUCAGGAUUUCCAGACAUCGAUGCUGAGUCACUACUGCCGACUCGGGCGUCCAAUCGGACUGAGACAGCAUUUAGUCUUCUCGUCGCAGAGUUGGUUGACUUAAUAGCAAACGUAAAACGUUGAUGCUUCCUGGUUCUUCGCCCCUGAUUUAGGAGCGAUUGCUGUGUUUCUCAUAACUCAAUAAUAUGAUCUGCCUCAAUUACUGGGAACUCCAUAGGACGUUCACCUUCAAAGUGUGAAAGCAGAUUCGUUUACCCGAUAUAUUUGCCGAUUCUUGCACUGUACUCUGCUAUUGUAUACUCCUUAUACUAUAUCUAGAUACAGUCCUUCUCGGUUGCUACACGACCCAUACUUUCAUUUUCUCUGUGUCUACGCCCGUUGGCCGCGUUGGCGUCUAUAUUUACUUAUGUCCACCGCUGUUACUAUGACACUACUCCUUCUUCUCGUGCCAGGAUCCAGUCAAUAUGCUACUCUCUCACAGGCAUUAUAUCUCCGCUUACCGUCAUUCGCUAUGGGUUAAGCCAUCAUUCGAAUGCCGGACAUUCGGAUAACGUCAGCCGCUAGUUGCGCGCAAAUGCUAUCUAUUUUUCCCGGUUUUUUCCAUCGUCUGGACCUGUGUAUUGUUCCUUUUGCGUGCGCACUAUCUCGACCUUGCCAAGAAUCUUUAUGCGCUCGAUUAUAUCUUUUUUCUUCUAUCCUGCGUGAUAAUAACGUAUUCUUAUGCAACUAUCAUCGCGAGCCUUUUGGAUUUCGUUUUAUCAGGAAAUCUUUACGUUUCUUAAUCCGACAUUUAUGCCUUGUUAUGCGAGCUACUUAUCUUGGUUCUAUUAGUUACUUCUGUCUUCCGUCUUUUCGAAGGAAAUACGGACGAUUCCCACAUGUGGCACGUAUCGGCCCUCCUGCAUAAUCAGUUCGCUCGUGAGAGGAAUAUCACUCAUCUCGCGGUAUUUCCAUGUCAUCUUGACCCGACGAUGUCGCUCCGAAAGCACGGCAACGAGCGUGAGCUAUGUUUUCGGUUUGUUUUCCAUCUUCGUUACCCCAGCUGCUUUGAUUGCGGACUUAUCAUUAUUCCUAUAGUAUUAUUAUACUCGUCUUAUAGCAGUCUCGUAAGUCUCCUAUUGUAGACUGGAUGUGAUCCUUAUUUAUCUGUUACUGUUCUCAUUCUUUUGGCUGGUUUUUUGCGCCCACCGGUGCGCCCAGUUCCUUUCUUUGGCAGAUGUACAAGCUUUUUAAUGUGACUGCUUCCUUGGAUUUUGUACCAAGUGUUAUGUUAAUUUGGUACUUCUCGGCAAAUCGUGCUUUGAACAACUACAUAGUUCUUUAUCCAUCCGGACGAGACACCAGGCAUAAUUAUAAUCGAACUUCACUUACAGGUAAGUUCGUUUAAUUAUACAAGUCUUUAUGAUGUUACAUCGCAGUUUGAAUUAAUACUAGUAAUAAAUGUACUCUAAACUACAAGAUCGCAAAGAACUAUACAGAUGAGCAAACUUAUCUUCGAGCCACUUAUCUUGCUUGGAUCGAACCGGAACCUCCGAUGCCGUGAAUCUGUCGUAGAGAUCGCAAGAUUAGCUGAAUCUGGAUAUAUAAUAAUAUAAUUAUAGACAAAGGUAUAAUAAUCCGAUUUUUAUUAUUUCAUUUAAACUCUUUAAUUAAUUACUGCAAGUUGAAUUUUAUGAAAGAGUAUUUAUCUCUAUUAUGAAUAAUAAAACGUAAAAAUUCGACUUUUUAUUUAAUUUAAACCUAUUUUAUUUAAACCUAUUUACCUUACGAUUACUUUGCGCCGCCUGAUGCUGUUCCUGAGUCUCCUCCUCCUCACAAUCAGUUUUUGGUGGCACUCGUGAUAAUGCGGCACUUUCGAUAAGGUAAUAAUACGCAAAAAAAUGCGGUGUUCUUGAUGUGAUGGCUUUUGCGCAAUUUACGACACUUAUAUCCGAAAUUUUGGUCGGCCAAUAUUUAGCGCGAAUUUAAAGUACCGUCUCAUUCUCGACGAUCUUUGGACAAUAGUGCAUGAUAAAGUUUUCAAGUACAUACUAAUGUAUUUAAUUAAAACUAUUGUCAUGAAAACUAUUCCCUAAAGUUUUGUGAAAUGCGUAAAGUGCGCGUUUGAAUCGAUUGAAGCGAUAUUUGUGACGCGCAUAUUGCUAUUUGUUGAUUAAUUCGAUAUCAAUGAUAUAUGAAAAAAUAAGAAAUAGCUAUAUUAGUCUCCUGGCUGCUUUAUUUGAUGGCUGGAUAUAGAUUUCAAAUUGUAAAAUAUAUUCUUCAAAAAACAUCUGUCUGAAUAUAUUUACGAUGCAGAUUCGCAAUAUGUUCUACAGAGUGCUCCCCUGCAGUUAAAUGGCCAAACUUGAAAUAUGAAUUUAGGACCUCAAAAUAAAAAAAACAUUCCUCUGAAAGUAUGCUCACAAACGCUUCGUUUAAGAGAUAUUGAUUUCUGAAGUUAUAUUAUAGAAGUAUAAUGUCGAAAUAUCUCUUUUUUUGGUUUAGAACAUCAUAGGUCAUCGACAUUAUGUUUAAACUGUAAACAAAGUUCCGUCCAUUUGUACAAAAUAAUUGUUAGUUUGUUAAAUGCUUUCGUAGAAUAAAUUAUUAUCAUGCACAAAGUUGUCAAAGAACGCGGUAUCCAGUCGGAGUCAUUACUGCUUACGAAAUUGAUAGCCACAAAAGCUUCAAAGUCAAAAUAUUAUCAUGCUUUAUACGUAUUCAAUUCAUGGAUAUGUCGAUAUGAUAUGUUUAUAUGGAUUUUGUAACGGAAAUAUAUCCUAUUGUAAUUGUACCCUGCUCGCAAUGAGUAUGUUGCGCAAUUUCCGAACAGAAAAUUGCCGAAUAAGAUAGCAUUCUUUUUAAAAUUUCAACGAUUGAGGGAAACUGGGUCAUUUAAUAUGGUCCUCCGGGCUGAUGAAAGUUUUGCACCGUUGCAAACUGAGAGAAGAUCAGCCAUCAUAUUGCAACAUUUUAAUCAAAACCCACCAACAAAUAUUCGAAGAUCUGGUUCAGAGUUAGGAAUUUCGCAGUUAUGUGGAAAACACUUUCAGCUCAGAUUGACGUCACUCAUAUCACCUUCAACGUGUUCAGUAUUUAUUACCGGCUGAUAUGCUACGCUGGAAAGCAUUUUGCAGUUGUUUUUAACCAAAAUACUGAUCCACAAUUUUCGCAAAACAUUUGUGGAGAGAUGAGGCCAUAUUUACCAGACAAGGUAUUCUCAAUCCAAGAAAUAAUCAUGUUUGGCCACAUGAAAAUAAACAAACCAAUGAACAAACAAUUUAAUAAUUAAAUUUUGAUUACUGUAAAGUAAUAAAGAGGAUAAACCUAGAUUAUUUUGAAAUUAUUUAUUUCUAAUAGUUCUUGUAUCUUGUAACUUUUGAAGUCUCUUAAACGGAGUGCUUACAAGCAUACUUUCAAAGGAAAUUUUUUGUGGUCCUAAAUAUUUCAAGUUCGGCCAUUUAAUCUGGAAGCACCUUGUAUAUUCGUACAAUGUGAUUAUAUCUUUUUAUUUUAACGUAAAAUUAAUUUUAUUUAAUUAUAUUUAUAAUUACUUGAGUAUUCGAUUUUAUUGCAUUGAAUUAUUAGGGGAGACGGAGACAAAAGUACCAUUUUGCAUUUAAGAUUUUAUAACAAUUAAAACAUAAUAACCAUGCAAAAAGGAUAUGUACCUUAAUUUAGAUGUAGAAUUUAUUUGACUACAAAAUUAUAUUACGUCAAAUUUUGCAACUUAACUAGGAAAAAAGUUAUUACUGUUAAAAUGAUAUGAGGAAUACUGAUACAAUCGUCCCAACCUCCGGGACGGUUGUACUCCGGGACAGUAGAUGGGGACAAUUGGAGACAGUUGUAACUUACAACUGUACCGUGGUAAUUUUGUCCCCGGUCUCCCCUAUAUGAAUAAAAUUAUUAUAUGUAAUCGCAUAAACGUGAUUAAAUGCUAAAGCUAUUGAAAUAUUUAUGAUUGGAAAUGUAUCGCGAAUUUUAGUACUCAAAUCUCCAUAGAAUUAUUAUAAAUUAAGUCAACGCGUUAAAAACGAAUACGCAUUCACGUAUGUUUUCUAAUAACACCAAAAAGUCAUAAUUAUUAUUAUAAUAUCAACUUAUAUUAUAGAGAAUAUUAUUUGCGUCGAUGUAGUGUCAACGGAUGACAACAGAAUAUGCGCAAUCUUGAAUUUAAGAUUGUUGAUAUGUGGUACCGGUAAUUUCCAAGAUGCACAACAUUAGGUCAGGGAUGUACAUUCGCGAUACAUGUUUUCCGUGCUGCCUUUAUUCUUCAGCUAACCAUUACGAGAUGAAUGUCAGAUGAUAUUAGCAUGUAAGUGGUUUUAUAAAUUGUAUACGAUCUGCAUAGUUUGCCAAAUCUGUAACGUUAUCAUUUGGUUUUUUUAUAGAUAAUGACUUUAUGUACUAAUAUUUUCACCUGAAGAGGACCAAAUUCUAUCGUCAAAAUGUAGUGUACACCUUAUAGUUAAAUACAUUGCCAGUCAGGUCGAA
Molecule: long non-coding RNA, 7702 nt
Filed under: Ooceraea biroi (clonal raider ant)
Lineage: Eukaryota; Metazoa; Arthropoda; Insecta; Hymenoptera; Formicidae
Description: uncharacterized LOC105280675
Source: RNAcentral